This 378-nucleotide ribosomal RNA is filed under the name uncultured organism. Its description in RNAcentral is "partial 16S ribosomal RNA". It matches the Rfam family "Bacterial small subunit ribosomal RNA", at positions 527 to 896 of the family's 1533-position model. The record is from RNAcentral.
AGAGGUGGCAAGCGUUGUUCGGAAUUACUGGGCGUAAAGGGCGCGCAGGCGGUUCGUCAAGUCUCGUGUGAAAUCCCCCGGCUCAACUGGGGAACUGCGCGGGAAACUAGUGAACUUGAGUUCGGGAGAGGAAAGCGGAAUUCCGGGUGUAGCGGUGAAAUGCGCAGAUAUCCGGAGGAACACCAGUGGCGAAGGCGGCUUUCUGGACCGACACUGACGCUGAGGCGCGAAAGCUAGGGGAGCGAACGGGAUUAGAUACCCCGGGUAGUCCUAGCCCUAAACGAUGAGCACUGGGUGUAGGGGGUAUGAACCCCCCCCCCCCGUGUGCCGAAGCUAACGCAUUAAGUGCUCCGCCUGGGGAGUACGGUCGCAAGGCUG